CGAGCCUGACGGAGCACGCCGCGUGAGGGAUGGAGGCCUUUGGGCUGUAAACCUCUUUUCUCAAGGAAGAAGACCUGACGGUACUUGAGGAAUAAGCCACGGCUAAUUCCGUGCCAGCAGCCGCGGUAAUACGGGAGUGGCAAGCGUUAUCCGGAAUUAUUGGGCGUAAAGCGUCCGCAGGCGGCCGUUUAAGUCUGUUGUUAAAUCGUGGAGCUCAACUCCAUCACGGCAAUGGAAACUGUUCGGCUUGAGUAUGGUAGGGGCAGAGGGAAUUUCCGGUGUAGCGGUGAAAUGCGUAGAUAUCGGGAAGAACACCAGUGGCGAAAGCGCUCUGCUGGACCAUUACUGACGCUCAUGGACGAAAGCCAGGGGAGCGAAAGGGAUUAGAUACCCCUGUAGUCCUGGCCGUAAACGAUGAACACUAGAUGUUGGGGGAAUCGACCCCCUCGGUGUCGUAGCUAACGCGUUAAGUGUUCCGCCUGGGGAGUACGCACGCAAGUGUGAAACUCAAAGGAAUUGACGGA
Molecule: ribosomal RNA, 524 nt
Filed under: uncultured cyanobacterium
Lineage: Bacteria; Bacillati; Cyanobacteriota
Description: bacterial SSU rRNA
Rfam family: Bacterial small subunit ribosomal RNA
Source: RNAcentral